GGGUGCUAACGUCCGUCGUGAAGAGGGAAACAACCCAGACCGCCAGCUAAGGUCCCAAAGUCAUGGUUAAGUGGGAAACGAUGUGGGAAGGCCCAGACAGCCAGGAUGUUGGCUUAGAAGCAGCCAUCAUUUAAAGAAAGCGUAAUAGCUCACUGGUCGAGUCGGCCUGCGCGGAAGAUGUAACGGGGCUAAACCAUGCACCGAAGCUGCGGCAGCGACGCUUAUGCGUUGUUGGGUAGGGGAGCGUUCUGUAAGCCUGUGAAGGUGUGCUGUGAGGUAUGCUGGAGGUAUCAGAAGUGCGAAUGCUGACAUAAGUAACGAUAAAGCGGGUGAAAAGCCCGCUCGCCGGAAGACCAAGGGUUCCUGUCCAACGUUAAUCGGGGCAGGGUGAGUCGACCCCUAAGGCGAGGCCGAAAGGCGUAGUCGAUGGGAAACAGGUUAAUAUUCCUGUACUUGGUGUUACUGCGAAGGGGGGACGGAGAAGGCUAUGUUGGCCGGGCGACGGUUGUCCCGGUUUAAGCGUGUAGGCUGGUUUUCCAGGCAAAUCCGGAAAAUCAAGGCCGAGGCGUGAUGACGAGGCACUACGGUGCUGAAGCAACAAAUGCCCUGCUUCCAGGAAAAGCCUCUAAGCAUCAGGUAACAUCAAAUCGUACCCCAAACCGACACAGGUGGUCAGGUAGAGAAUACCAAGGCGCUUGAGAGAACUCGGGUGAAGGAACUAGGCAAAAUGGUGCCGUAACUUCGGGAGAAGGCACGCUGAUACGUAGGUGAAGCGACUUGCUCGUGGAGCUGAAAUCAGUCGAAGAUACCAGCUGGCUGCAACUGUUUAUUAAAAACACAGCACUGUGCAAACACGAAAGUGGACGUAUACGGUGUGACGCCUGCCCGGUGCCGGAAGGUUAAUUGAUGGGGUUAGCGCAAGCGAAGCUCUUGAUCGAAGCCCCGGUAAACGGCGGCCGUAACUAUAACGGUCCUAAGGUAGCGAAAUUCCUUGUCGGGUAAGUUCCGACCUGCACGAAUGGCGUAAUGAUGGCCAGGCUGUCUCCACCCGAGACUCAGUGAAAUUGAACUCGCUGUGAAGAUGCAGUGUACCCGCGGCAAGACGGAAAGACCCCGUGAACCUUUACUAUAGCUUGACACUGAACAUUGAGCCUUGAUGUGUAGGAUAGGUGGGAGGCUUUGAAGUGUGGACGCCAGUCUGCAUGGAGCCGACCUUGAAAUACCACCCUUUAAUGUUUGAUGUUCUAACGUGGACCCGUGAUCCGGGUUGCGGACAGUGUCUGGUGGGUAGUUUGACUGGGGCGGUCUCCUCCUAAAGAGUAACGGAGGAGCACGAAGGUUGGCUAAUCCUGGUCGGACAUCAGGAGGUUAGUGCAAUGGCAUAAGCCAGCUUGACUGCGAGCGUGACGGCGCGAGCAGGUGCGAAAGCAGGUCAUAGUGAUCCGGUGGUUCUGAAUGGAAGGGCCAUCGCUCAACGGAUAAAAGGUACUCCGGGGAUAACAGGCUGAUACCGCCCAAGAGUUCAUAUCGACGGCGGUGUUUGGCACCUCGAUGUCGGCUCAUCACAUCCUGGGGCUGAAGUAGGUCCCAAGGGUAUGGCUGUUCGCCAUUUAAAGUGGUACGCGAGCUGGGUUUAGAACGUCGUGAGACAGUUCGGUCCCUAUCUGCCGUGGGCGCUGGAGAACUGAGGGGGGCUGCUCCUAGUACGAGAGGACCGGAGUGGACGCAUCACUGGUGUUCGGGUUGUCAUGCCAAUGGCACUGCCCGGUAGCUAAAUGCGGAAGAGAUAAGUGCUGAAAGCAUCUAAGCACGAAACUUGCCCCGAGAUGAGUUCUCCCUGACCCUUUAAGGGUCCUGAAGGAACGUUGAAGACGACGACGUUGAUAGGCCGGGUGUGUAAGCGCAGCGAUGCGUUGAGCUAACCGGUACUAAUGAACCGUGAGGCUUAACCUUACAACGCCGAAG
This 1965-nucleotide ribosomal RNA is filed under the name Shigella flexneri. RNAcentral's name for it is "partial 23S ribosomal RNA". It matches the Rfam family "Bacterial large subunit ribosomal RNA", at positions 993 to 2925 of the family's 2925-position model. Lineage: Bacteria; Pseudomonadati; Pseudomonadota; Gammaproteobacteria; Enterobacterales; Enterobacteriaceae. The record is from RNAcentral.